CCCCUCCAAAUGGUUGAUCGAAUCAUGCCAUCUAGCGAUACAUGAUCGGCCCCCGAGGCCUGCUCUCUUCGAUCUCUGGUUCGGGCGAAGUACCUAACGACCUUAGUCUAAAAUCUCCAAGCGAUUAUCAUGUCAGGCCAUUAAGGAGGGUGGCUUAUGCGGUUAUGUCACUCCAUGCUAUUUUCAUGAUUGCCUGCCCAUAUCAUUAAUAAAGGCAGUAGAUGACCAAGAAGAAGU
This 237-nucleotide long non-coding RNA is filed under the name Elaeis guineensis (African oil palm). RNAcentral's name for it is "long non-coding RNA (EGUI_LNC051030)". Lineage: Eukaryota; Viridiplantae; Streptophyta; Magnoliopsida; Arecales; Arecaceae. The record is from RNAcentral.